Molecule: unclassified non-coding RNA, 301 nt
Filed under: uncultured fungus
Lineage: Eukaryota; Fungi
Description: sequence contains ITS1
Rfam family: 5.8S ribosomal RNA (bases 1-105)
Source: RNAcentral
GAAAUGCGAUAAGUAGUGUGAAUUGCAGAAUUCAGUGAAUCAUCGAAUCUUUGAACGCACAUUGCGCCCCUUGGUAUUCCAUGGGGCAUGCCUGUUCGAGCGUCAUUUGUACCUUCAAGCUCUGCUUGGUGUUGGGUGUUUGUCCCGCCUUUGCGCGUGGACUCGCCUUAAAGCAAUUGGCAGCCGGCGUAUAGAUUUCGGAGCGCAGCACAAAACGCGCUUUGUUAGCAAUACGGUGGCGUCCAGUAAGCCUUUUUUAACUCUUGACCUCGGAUCAGGUAGGGAUACCCGCUGAACUUAA